CUUCUUUGCCCGCUUUGAGGACAGUACAGUGCCAUCGACACGGCCCGCUACUAAAACCUGCAGGCUCUCCUUAACCGCAGCCAAAGUGAUAAAACGUUUAAACGUGUUAACCCUCGCAAGGCUGCCGGACCAGACGGCAUUCCUAGCUGUGUCCUCAGAGCAUGCGCAGACCAGGUGGCUGGUGUGUUUACGGACAUAUUCAAUCAAUCCCUAUCCCAGUCUGCUGUUCCCACAUGCUUCAAGAGGGCCACCAUUGUUCCUGUUCCCAAGAAAGCUAAGGUAACUGAGCUAAAUGACUAUCGUCCCGUGGCACUCACUUCCGUCAUCAUGAAGUGCUUUGAGAGACUAGUCAAGGAUCAUAUCACCUCCACCCUACCUGACACCUUAGACCCACUCCAAUUUGCUUACCGCUCCAAUAGGUCCACAGACGACGCAAUCGCAAUCACACUGCACACUGCCCUAGCCCAUCUGGACAAGAGGAAUACCUACAGUUGAAGUCGAAAGUUUACAUACACUUAGGUUGGAAUCAUUAAAACUCGUUUUUCAACCACUCCACAAAUUUCUUGUUAACAAAGUACAGUUUUGGCAAGUCGGUUAGAACAUCUACUUUGUGCAUGACACAAGUAAUUUUUCCAACAAUUGUUGACAGACAGAUUAUUUCACUUAUAAUUCACUGUAUCACAAUUCCAGUGGGUCAGAAGUUUACAUACACUAAGUUGACUGUGCCUUUAAGAAAAUUCCAGAAAAUUAUGUCAUGGCUUUAGAAGCUUCUGAUAGACUAAUUUACAUUUACAUUUUUUACAUUUUAGUCAUUUAGCAGACGCUCUUAUCCAGAGCGACUUACAGUAGUGAAUGCAUACAUUUCAUACAUUUAAAAAAAAAAAAUCCCGUACUGGUCCCCCGUGGGAGGUGUACCUGUGGAUGUAUUUCAAGGCCUAACUUCAAAGUCAGUGCCUGUUUGCUUGACAUCAUGGGAAAAUCAAAAGAAAUCAGCCAAGACCUCAGAAAAAAAUUGUAGACCUCCACAAGUCUGGUUCAUCCUUGGGAGCAAUUUCCAAAUGCCUGAAGGUACCACGUUCAUCUGUACAAACAAUAGUACUCAAGUAUAAACACCAUAGGACCACGCAGCCGUCAUACCGCUAAGGAAGGAGACGCCUUCUGUCUCCUAGAGAUGAACGUACUUUGGUGCGAAAGGUGCAAAUCAAUCCCAGAACAUGCUGGAGGAAUGCUGGAGGAAACAGGUACAAAAGUAUCUAUAUCUACAGUAAAACGAGUCCUAUAUCGACAAAACCUGAAACGCUGCUCAGCAAGGAAGAAGCCAUUGUUGCAAACCGCUAUAAAAAAGCCAGACUACGGUUUGCAACUGUACAUGGGGACAAAGAUUGUACUUUUUGGUGAAAUGUCCUCUGGUCUGAUGAAACAAAAAUAGAACUGUUUAGCCUUAAUGACCAUUGUUAUGUUUGGAGGAAAAAGGGGGACGCUUGCAAGCUGAAGAACACCAUCCCAACCGUGAAGCACGGGGGUGGCAGCAUCAUGUUGUGGGGUUGCUUUGCUGCAGGAGGAACUGGUGUACUUCACAAAAUAGAUGGCAUCAUGAGGUAGGAAAAUGAUGUGGAUAUAUUGAAGCAACAUCUCAAGACAUCAGUUAGGAAGUUAAAGCUUGGUCACAAAAGGGUCUUCCAAAUGGACAAUGACCCCAAGCAUACUUCCAAAGUUGUGGCAAAAUGGCUUAAGGACAACAAAGUCAAGGUAUUGGAGUGUCCAUCACAAAGCCCUGACCUCAAU
RNAcentral lists this long non-coding RNA (1785 nucleotides) under Salmo salar (Atlantic salmon). RNAcentral's name for it is "lncRNA (ENSSSAG00000098083.1)". Lineage: Eukaryota; Metazoa; Chordata; Actinopteri; Salmoniformes; Salmonidae. The record is from RNAcentral.